This 517-nucleotide ribosomal RNA is filed under the name uncultured archaeon. RNAcentral's name for it is "bacterial SSU rRNA". It matches the Rfam family "Archaeal small subunit ribosomal RNA", at positions 327 to 847 of the family's 1478-position model. The record is from RNAcentral.
GGGGUGCAGCAGGCGCGAAACCUCCUCAAUGCACUUACGUGCGAAGGGGCUACCUCGAGUGCCACCUGAUGAAGGUGGCUUUUCCUAGGUCUAAAAAGCCUUGGGAAUAAGAGGGGGGCAAGACUGGUGUCAGCCGCCGCGGUAACACCAGCCCCUCGAGUGGUGGGGAUGAUUAUUGGGCCUAAAGCGUCCGUAGCCUGCCGUAUAAGUUUCCCGUUAAAUCCAGCGUCUUAAGCGUUGGACUGCGGGAAAUACUGUACGGCUAGAGAGUGGGAGAGGUCAGCGGUAUUCUGGGGGUAGGGGCGAAAUCCUUUGAUCCCCGGAGGACCACCAGUGGCGAAGGCUGCUGUCUAGAACACGUCUGACGGUCAGGGACGAAAGCUGGGGUAGCGAACCGGAUUAGAUACCCGGGUAGUCCCAGCCGUAAACGAUGCAUGCUAGGUGUUGGGUUGGCCACGCGCCACCCCAGUGCCGCAGGGAAGCCGUUAAGCAUGCCGCCUGGAAGUACGAUCGCAAG